RNAcentral lists this ribosomal RNA (407 nucleotides) under uncultured bacterium. RNAcentral's name for it is "partial 16S ribosomal RNA". It matches the Rfam family "Bacterial small subunit ribosomal RNA", at positions 30 to 526 of the family's 1533-position model. The record is from RNAcentral.
AUUGCACGCUGGCGGCAGGCCUAACACAUGCAAGUCGAGCGGAGCGGCGGACGGGUGAGUAAUGCCUAGGAAUCUGCCUGGUAGUAGGGGAUAACGUCCGGAAACGGGAGCUAAUCCCGCAUCCUAUCAGAUGAGCCUAGGUCGGAUUAGCUAGUUGGUGGGGUAAAGGCCUACCAAGGCAACGAUCCGUAACUGGUUUGAGCGGAUGAUCAGUCACACUGGAACUGAGACACGGUCCAGACUCACACGGGAGGCAGCAGUGGGGAAUAUUGGACAAUGGGCGAAAGCCUGAUCCAGCCAUGCCGCGUGUGUGAAGAAGGUCUUCGGAUUGUAAAGCACUUUAAGUGGGGAGGCGGGAACAAAAGAAUAAGCACCGGCUAACUUCGUGCCAGCAGCCGCGGUAAUAG